RNAcentral lists this ribosomal RNA (1241 nucleotides) under Lactiplantibacillus pentosus. Its description in RNAcentral is "bacterial SSU rRNA". It matches the Rfam family "Bacterial small subunit ribosomal RNA", at positions 39 to 1241 of the family's 1533-position model. The record is from RNAcentral. Lineage: Bacteria; Bacillati; Bacillota; Bacilli; Lactobacillales; Lactobacillaceae.
GCGGCGUGCCUAUACAUGCAGUCGAACGAACUCUGGUAUUGAUUGGUGCUUGCAUCAUGAUUUACAUUUGAGUGAGUGGCGAACUGGUGAGUAACACGUGGGAAACCUGCCCAGAAGCGGGGGAUAACACCUGGAAACAGAUGCUAAUACCGCAUAACAACUUGGACCGCAUGGUCCGAGUUUGAAAGAUGGCUUCGGCUAUCACUUUUGGAUGGUCCCGCGGCGUAUUAGCUAGAUGGUGAGGUAACGGCUCACCAUGGCAAUGAUACGUAGCCGACCUGAGAGGGUAAUCGGCCACAUUGGGACUGAGACACGGCCCAAACUCCUACGGGAGGCAGCAGUAGGGAAUCUUCCACAAUGGACGAAAGUCUGAUGGAGCAACGCCGCGUGAGUGAAGAAGGGUUUCGGCUCGUAAAACUCUGUUGUUAAAGAAGAACAUAUCUGAGAGUAACUGUUCAGGUAUUGACGGUAUUUAACCAGAAAGCCACGGCUAACUACGUGCCAGCAGCCGCGGUAAUACGUAGGUGGCAAGCGUUGUCCGGAUUUAUUGGGCGUAAAGCGAGCGCAGGCGGUUUUUUAAGUCUGAUGUGAAAGCCUUCGGCUCAACCGAAGAAGUGCAUCGGAAACUGGGAAACUUGAGUGCAGAAGAGGACAGUGGAACUCCAUGUGUAGCGGUGAAAUGCGUAGAUAUAUGGAAGAACACCAGUGGCGAAGGCGGCUGUCUGGUCUGUAACUGACGCUGAGGCUCGAAAGUAUGGGUAGCAAACAGGAUUAGAUACCCUGGUAGUCCAUACCGUAAACGAUGAAUGCUAAGUGUUGGAGGGUUUCCGCCCUUCAGUGCUGCAGCUAACGCAUUAAGCAUUCCGCCUGGGGAGUACGGCCGCAAGGCUGAAACUCAAAGGAAUUGACGGGGGCCCGCACAAGCGGUGGAGCAUGUGGUUUAAUUCGAAGCUACGCGAAGAACCUUACCAGGUCUUGACAUACUAUGCAAAUCUAAGAGAUUAGACGUUCCCUUCGGGGACAUGGAUACAGGUGGUGCAUGGUUGUCGUCAGCUCGUGUCGUGAGAUGUUUGGGUUAAGUCCCGCAACGAGCGCAACCCUUAUUAUCAGUUGCCAGCAUUAAGUUGGGCACUCUGGUGAGACUGCCGUGACAAACCGGAGGAAAAGGGGGGGGAAUAACGUCAAAUCAUCAUGGCCCCUUAUGACCUGGGGCUACACACGGGCUACAAUGGGAGGUUACA